AUUGAACGCUGGCGGCAUGCCUUACACAUGCAAGUCGAACGGUAACAGCUCUUCGGUUGCUGACGAGUGGCGAACGGGCGAGUAAUACAUCCGAACGUGCCCGAUCGUUGGGGUUAACGAGGCGAAAGCUUUGCUAAUACCGCACACGAUCUACGCAUGAAAGCGGGGGAUCUUCGGAGCUCGCGCGGACGGAGCGGCCGAGGGCGGAGGAGUUUGUGGGUGGGAUAAAGGCUUACCAAGCCGACGAGCUGUAGCUGUUCUGUGAGGCUGAUCGGCGACAUUGGGACGGGAACAGGGACAAGACUCCUACGGGACGGAGCAGUGGGGAAUUGUAGACAAUGGGGGAAAGCCUGGCCCAGCGAUCGGGCGUGCAGGAUGAAGGCGUUGGGGUUGUAAAGUGCUUUUGUACGGAGCGAAACGCCUCUUUCUGAUACAGAGGGGUCAUGACGGUACCGUAAGAAUAAGCACCGGCUAACUACGUG
Molecule: ribosomal RNA, 482 nt
Filed under: uncultured bacterium
Lineage: Bacteria
Description: partial 16S ribosomal RNA
Rfam family: Bacterial small subunit ribosomal RNA
Source: RNAcentral